RNAcentral lists this long non-coding RNA (1937 nucleotides) under Triticum aestivum (bread wheat). Its description in RNAcentral is "long non-coding RNA (TAES_LNC004752)". The record is from RNAcentral. Lineage: Eukaryota; Viridiplantae; Streptophyta; Magnoliopsida; Poales; Poaceae.
AAAAGACGAGCCACGGACGGCUGGCUCGCACGAAUCGACGUGGCGAUCUGAUCAGUGCAUGCUAAUCGUAACUGAAGAAGAAAACCCCACUCUAUCUCAUCAGUUAUCGUCUAAUCGAUCGCCACAGACAAGUGAUGACCCGUAGGCACGCAUAUCCAGACCAAGAUCAGAUAGCAAAGCCAACCAAAAAGCGCGAGCCGAUGACGCAGCGGCUAGGGCCGGACAAGCACGGCGGUUCAGUGUUCAGGGUUGAGACAAGGCUCGUACAGCCGUUCAUGCAGUCGUGCACACCACCGCUCUCGAUCUGCAAAUGCAAAUCCAAAACACGGUGGUUCAGCAUGCAGGAUCUAUCUAUCUAUCUGCAUGCUUCCAAACCAAAGCUUGAACUUCCUCGCUGAAAAGGCAAAUGAGCAAAAGGACACAGCUUCAACUACCUGCGCGACAAAGUUGGUUGGCCUGGCCGGGGAGAUAGAUUUGUUCGGGCGCAGGAAGCUUCGGUGCACCUUCCCGCCGCCACCUGAGUGUCUCGCACGCGCCCUUUGCCUGGCUUGUGGUUAACGAGAACCGCGACUAAGAUGACAAAUUAACAAACGUGUAGGCCGUAUAUAUAUCUACAAAAGUUUUCUGUUGAGGGAAGUAUAUCUAGAAAAGUUAGUAUACAUGUGCGAAAUGCAAGAAUGAAAACCUGGGUUUGGAACGUCCAGGGCGGUAUCUACAAACCAGGGGCCUCGGUGCGAAAUGUACGAUGGAACCCUACAAUUUAAAAUACGGAUAAUCAAAGUAUGUCUUCACAAAAUUGAAAAACAACCACGUCUUCACUUAAUUCUUUUUUUUUUGCGGAAAGUCUUCACUUAAUUCUGUGAUACCCUAACUCCUGAAAACACGAUGAGGAGAUGUAAUAAAUGAGAACUUAUAAAACAAUUUCCCUUUUUUUAAUUCUAAGUUGAUUCACCCCAACCAUUGGAUAUCAAUCCAACAGCCGCCCACCUCCUUCUUCCUCGCCCGGCAUGGCACCCGCCGCCCUCCAACCUAGACCUAAUUGUUUGCCUAAACAACCGAUCCCGGCGGCACUACCAUGCCGCCUCACCGAACCACCCCCUUCGUUGUGCCACCGCCGCCCCUACCAUCCCUGUAUACCCCUUUCUUUUGCACUGGCACCCCAUCCUGCACCCAAGUCGUUAAGCCUCCACCUGCGACGCCGGCUAGGUGCGAGUUCUUCUCUCCUAUCUAAAACUGACCGGUCCAAAUUUUGUUUUCAGACAACUGAGGAUAGUAAAUCUGCUAUAAAAAAUAACAAAAUUUGGCAAGACAAGAAAAAAAUAACAAAAAAAGAUAAGGAAAAAAUUACUUUUCUGAUGAUAUGAAUAUGAUGGAUGCCCUAGAUAUGUAGAAAUCUGAUGAGAAAUUACGACGGAACCCUACAAAUUAACAUAAGGAUAGCCAAGGUAUAUUUCACUUAAUUAUAUGACUUCCUAAUUCUAGAAGACAUGACAAUGAUUGAUGUAAUAAAUAUCUCCAUGUUCUAUAAACUGGGGAAAAGCGGUGAUUAGUUAUACAUCAAUUUUAGUAUUAGCAUGACAAGAACAAAAAAGGAACAAUAAUAAUAAUUUGUGAGGAUAUGAAUGUGAUCGAUGACCGAACCUAGAAAUAUGAUGAGAGAUUAUGGACCUGCAGCCGGUUAUGUCAGAAAGUUGCCGGUCGCCAAGACUUAUGGGAUCAACUUGGGAGUGGAACGACCGGGAGAGGAAGAGCGUUGAAACUGCCCAAAAGACCGACCGAGGGAAGAGAAGCACAUGGGGUGUUCCUCAAUCGACCGAUUAUGAUUAUGAAGAGCUGGGAGAUAAAAGGUGGCUCCCCCCUCCCACUGGGCCUCAUGCGAUUUUCCAUGUUGGUCCUUUCAUUUGUUCUCCCUGUUGCCACCCUACACACGGUCUCCU